GGAACUUUCGGCCGCCGAACCUGCCGCCGAAAGUGCCCUGUCCAGCCUUCUUUUGCAUGUUUUCCUUGAUUGUUUUAGGAUGUUUUAGGGAGAUUUUUGGAGAAUUUUAUAGAGUUGUUCUUGAGUUAGUUUGGUCCCUCAUUUGAGUCCACCUGUGUAGGAACGGACCAGAGGAACCGAAGAGAUCAGCAGUGAGCACUGCCUCAGAGUCAGUUUAGAGUUAGCCAGAGGUGAGUGGAACUAAACUUAAUGUUUCUAAUAUUGAGAAAUUAAAUGCUUUAAGCAUGUUUCAUGCAUCAUGAUUAUGAAAUAGGUUGAUUGCACUAGAAUUUUCACUAAUAUGUGCAUUGCAUUAUUUAUUGUACUUGCCGACGGACAUAGUUUGGAUUCAUUAGCCCUCCCAUCAAGUCCUGAGGAGCCCCAUCGAGGGCCGGGCACAUCAAGACCUGAGGAGCCCCAUUGAGGGCCGGGCAUAUCAAGACCUGAGGAGCUCCUUCGCGGGCCGGGCACAGUUUGAGGGAGUUUUGUUUUCGUCCGUCCGAUAUGUGAUUACCUGUGAUGUAAUGCAUUUCAUGUGAGCAUGUUUAUUUUGUUCUACUCACUGGGCUAGUAUAGCUCAUCCCUCUCCCUUAACCCCAGUCUUGCAGGAUCAGAGUUCCGGGGGAGUUCAGCAGAGUACAGAAAGAGUAAAGAGAUAUGUAAUAGCUUAGUGUGGACAUGUAAUUAUUGUAAAGAGAUGUUUUAGUAUUGUUUAGAGUAUAGUAUUGUGCUUGACCCAUAUGUUUGUAAAUCCCUUUUUGUAUACAUGGUCCAUUUAUGUAAAUGUUUUAUUGUUGUGUAUGAAAACCAGGCUUAACAUAGAAAGAGUUUUAACCCGUCUAGAGCAAUGAUGAGAACUCUAGUAAGGGGUUCUGUAGUACAGAGAUAGUGCAUGCACAGGUUGAGCCUUGGUACAGAGCAAAGUUUUAUGUUUUUACAGAAAAUGUAUGAUCAUGUAUGGGAUUUCACAGGUACACAGAGAGUAUAGCAGGCUUGCUACGGGUCCCGGCGACCUUAAGUCGAUCUGGAUCCUAGCGCCGGUAGCGGUCCGAUUUUUGGGUCGUUACAGUCGAAACCUUUGGGGGCAGGUUAGGCGGCCAAAUAGCUGCCUCUACAGGCAAGUUCGACAGCCGAAGCCGAAAGACCCCUGCCCAGCCUUUUUCUGCUUGAUUUCUACGUAUGUUCUUGUGUGUUCUUAGGGAUUUCUUGGGGGUUAUUUAAGUAUUGUAGAAAUUAUGUUUGGUCCCUUAUUUAAGUCCAUCUGUGUAGGAUCAGACUUGAAAAACCGUAGAGACUUACAGUGAGAUAGCUGCUUCAGUAUUAGACAAGCGUCAGCCAGAGGUGAGUAGAACUGAACUGAUAUAUUAUUUUAAAGAAAUCAAACAUCUUAAGCAUACUCAUGCAUCACGAAUGCCAUGUAUAUAUAAUUAGGUUAUUUUAUAAUAGUAUAAUUGUGGACACGUAUUAUUUUAUGGAUUAGAAUUGUGCUUUGCCCUAGUGUUUGUCCUUAUAAUUCCUAUUUCAUAUCCCUUAUAUGUAAAAAGUUUUAAGUAUAUGUAUGUUUGAACCGAGCUUGAGGCAUAUUAUAUUGAUCAUACUGAAGAAUUUGAUGAGGACUCUUGUAAUACCCGGCUAGACUCCGGUAUCGGAAUUCCUACCGUCCGGUGGAAUCUCGGAUGUCGGAGACCUCUAGAAGGGUAGAAUCAUGUUUUAUAAAAAUGUUUUAAUGUGUUUUAUGAUUUUUAAGCAUUAAAUAAAAUGAGUUUUUGCAUGAAAAAAAUAGCAUUGGAGGAAAACCCAGGUUCGGCCGCCGAAAGUCAAGUUCGGCCGCCGAACAUUUGCAUGGAUGCGGAGGCACAUUCGGCCCCCGAACGUGGCCUGGCCAGCCACUAUAUAAGGGGCACUUAGCCGAAAUGGGCGAGCUUUCUCCCAUUUUCGGCCACAGCAAGCUUCCGACUUUCCCUUUUGCAAACCUAGUGUUCUUCCUCCAAAUCCCCACCAUUUUUCCUGAGUUUUAAGCUUGCAUUGAAGGUUUUGAACUUUUGAAACAAGUUUUGGAGCUUUGGGAACUCAGGAGCUCAUCUUCUUGGAUCUCCAAGUUUAGGUCGUCUCCCUCUCGAUCUUCAAGAGGUAAGAGCCGAUCUUAAGCUCCUUAUGUGUUUUCAAUAAGUUUUAUGUUAGAUCGAUGGGUAGAAAUGCAUGUUAGGUUAUAUGUGGAGUUAUGGGUUAAUCUUGAUGUCUUGGACAAUGUAUGUUGUUUUUGUGUGUUUGAAGUGUUGUAGUUGGGGUAUUUGAUGUUUUGAGGCCCCUAGGAACUUGUAUGCAUGAUUUAACUGAGGUAUAUGCAUGAUUGGUGAGUUUGGAGGCGAAAAUGCAUUUGGGAGCCAAGUUUCUGCCCUUCGGCAGAAACCAGGUUCGGCAGCCGAAGGCACUCUCGGCCACCGAACAUGGCUGGUGAGGCAGGCCUUUCGGCUGCCGAAGUUGCCCCCGAAGGGAGACUUUCGUCUCUGUCUGGGACUUUCGGCCGCCGAAGGUGCCGCCGAACAUGCAUGAGUUUCGUCUCUGUCUGGGAGUUUCGGCCGCCGAAGGUGCCGCCGAACCUGCCUGACUUUCGGCUCUGGAGGGACUUUCGGCCGCCGAACCUGCCGCCGAAAGUGCCCUGUCCAGCCAUUUCUUGCAUGUUAUUAUGUGAUUGUUUCAUGAUGUUUUAGGGGGUUUUUGGGGAAUAUAUUAGAGUUAUGUUUAUGUAUGUUUGGU
RNAcentral lists this long non-coding RNA (2796 nucleotides) under Manihot esculenta (cassava). RNAcentral's name for it is "long non-coding RNA (MESC_LNC006449)". The record is from RNAcentral. Lineage: Eukaryota; Viridiplantae; Streptophyta; Magnoliopsida; Malpighiales; Euphorbiaceae.